Long non-coding RNA from Thrips palmi, 437 nucleotides. RefSeq lists it as uncharacterized. The transcript is spliced from 3 exons. The record is from RefSeq and is a predicted model, not a curated record. NCBI's taxonomy places the organism in Eukaryota, Metazoa, Arthropoda, Insecta, Thysanoptera, Thripidae.
GAAGGAUCAUUGGUGUCAAUUUGAUGCAAGCAUGGUUUUCUUCUUGUGGAUGUCAGUCAUCCUGCACACUUUUGAAAUGCUUGGCAUUGUACCCCGUUUUAGUUAUCUUUCUAUUUUGAGAGCACCUAGACCACUUAUAAUGAUACGCUUCAUACGUGUCUUCCUCAAGUUUUCAAUGCCAAAGUCUAGGAUAAAUCAAAUUUUCAAACGAUCCAGCCAGCAAAUUUACAAUGUAACACUGUUUUCUUAUUCUUCAUGUCGCUUUAUGGCUUACUAGGAGUACAGUUCUUUGGAGAAUUGAAAAACCACUGUGUAUUGAAUGAAACAGAACCAAGGCACAUCACAAUAAACAGUUUGGCCAUACCUGACACAUUCUGUUCGACUGACCCUGAUUCAGGGUAUCAAUGUCCCACUGGAAUUAAAUGCAUGAAACUGGA